GUGGGGAAUCUUCCGCAAUGGACGAAAGUCUGACGGAGCGACGCCGCGUGAGUGAAGAAGGCCUUCGGGUCGUAAAGCUCUGUCAUCAGGGACGAACGGCCGGUGGAGUGGAAAGCCACCGGAUUGACGGUACCUGAGAAGGAAGCCACGGCUAACUACGUGCCAGCAGCCGCGGUAAUACGUAGGUGGCAAGCGUUGUCCGGAAUUAUUGUGCGUAAAGCGCGCGCAGGUGGGAUCUUAAGUCCAUUUUGAAAGUUCGGAGCUCAACUCCGUGAUGGGAUGGAAACUGGGAUUCUUGAGUACCGGAGAGGAAAGCGGAAUUCCCCGUGUAGCGGUGAAAUGCGUAGAUAUGGGGAGGAACACCAGUGGCGAAGGCGGCUUUCUGGACGGUGUCUGACACUGAGGCGCGAAAGCUAGGGGAGCGAACGGGAUUAGAAACCCGUGUAGUCC
RNAcentral lists this ribosomal RNA (450 nucleotides) under uncultured bacterium. RNAcentral's name for it is "partial 16S ribosomal RNA". It matches the Rfam family "Bacterial small subunit ribosomal RNA", at positions 354 to 796 of the family's 1533-position model. The record is from RNAcentral.